RNAcentral lists this transfer RNA (73 nucleotides) under bacterium. Its description in RNAcentral is "tRNA-Ala". It matches the Rfam family "tRNA". Rfam says of the family: Transfer RNA (tRNA) molecules are approximately 80 nucleotides in length. RNAcentral also lists the same sequence under 2 other names. The record is from RNAcentral.
GGGGACGUAGCUCAGUUGGUAGAGCGCUUGCAUGGCAUGCAAGAGGUCGUCGGUUCGAUCCCGUUCGUCUCCA